GAACGCUGGCGGCAGGCCUAACACAUGCAAGUCGAGCGGUAGCACAGAGAGCUUGCUCUCGGGUGACGAGCGGCGGACGGGUGAGUAAUGUCUGGGAAACUGCCUGAUGGAGGGGGAUAACUACUGGAAACGGUAGCUAAUACCGCAUAAUGUCGCAAGACCAAAGUGGGGGACCUUCGGGCCUCAUGCCAUCAGAUGUGCCCAGAUGGGAUUAGCUAGUAGGUGGGGUAACGGCUCACCUAGGCGACGAUCCCUAGCUGGUCUGAGAGGAUGACCAGCCACACUGGAACUGAGACACGGUCCAGACUCCUACGGGAGGCAGCAGUGGGGAAUAUUGCACAAUGGGCGCAAGCCUGAUGCAGCCAUGCCGCGUGUGUGAAGAAGGCCUUCGGGUUGUAAAGCACUUUCAGCGGGGAGGAAGGCGGUAAGGUUAAUAACCUCAUCGAUUGACGUUACCCGCAGAAGAAGCACCGGCUAACUCCGUGCCAGCAGCCGCGGUAAUACGGAGGGUGCAAGCGUUAAUCGGAAUUACUGGGCGUAAAGCGCACGCAGGCGGUCUGUCAAGUCGGAUGUGAAAUCCCCGGGCUCAACCUGGGAACUGCAUUCGAAACUGGCAGGCUAGAGUCUUGUAGAGGGGGGUAGAAUUCCAGGUGUAGCGGUGAAAUGCGUAGAGAUCUGGAGGAAUACCGGUGGCGAAGGCGGCCCCCUGGACAAAGACUGACGCUCAGGUGCGAAAGCGUGGGGAGCAAACAGGAUUAGAUACCCUGGUAGUCCACGCCGUAAACGAUGUCGAUUUGGAGGUUGUGCCCUUGAGGCGUGGCUUCCGGAGCUAACGCGUUAAAUCGACCGCCUGGGGAGUACGGCCGCAAGGUUAAAACUCAAAUGAAUUGACGGGGGCCCGCACAAGCGGUGGAGCAUGUGGUUUAAUUCGAUGCAACGCGAAGAACCUUACCUGGUCUUGACAUCCACAGAACUUUCCAGAGAUGGAUUGGUGCCUUCGGGAACUGUGAGACAGGUGCUGCAUGGCUGUCGUCAGCUCGUGUUGUGAAAUGUUGGGUUAAGUCCCGCAACGAGCGCAACCCUUAUCCUUUGUUGCCAGCGGUCCGGCCGGGAACUCAAAGGAGACUGCCAGUGAUAAACUGGAGGAAGGUGGGGAUGACGUCAAGUCAUCAUGGCCCUUACGACCAGGGCUACACACGUGCUACAAUGGCAUAUACAAAGAGAAGCGACCUCGCGAGAGCAAGCGGACCUCAUAAAGUAUGUCGUAGUCCGGAUUGGAGUCUGCAACUCGACUCCAUGAAGUCGGAAUCGCUAGUAAUCGUAGAUCAGAAUGCUACGGUGAAUACGUUCCCGGGCCUUGUACACACCGCCCGUCACACCAUGGGAGUGGGUUGCAAAAGAAGUAGGUAGCUUAACCUUCGGGAGGGCGCUUACCACUUUGUGAUUCAUGACUGGGGUGAAGUCGUAACAAGGUAACCGUAGGGGAACCUGCGGCUGGAUCACCU
RNAcentral lists this ribosomal RNA (1505 nucleotides) under Klebsiella sp. ok1_1_9_S26. Its description in RNAcentral is "bacterial SSU rRNA". It matches the Rfam family "Bacterial small subunit ribosomal RNA". The record is from RNAcentral. Lineage: Bacteria; Pseudomonadati; Pseudomonadota; Gammaproteobacteria; Enterobacterales; Enterobacteriaceae.